This 449-nucleotide ribosomal RNA is filed under the name uncultured bacterium. RNAcentral describes it as "partial 16S ribosomal RNA". It matches the Rfam family "Bacterial small subunit ribosomal RNA", at positions 29 to 523 of the family's 1533-position model. The record is from RNAcentral.
AACGAACGCUGGCGGCAUGCCUAACACAUGCAAGUCGAACGAGAUCUUCGGGUCUAGUGGCGCACGGGUGCGUGACGCGUGGGAAUCUGCCCUUUGGUUCGGAAUAACAGUUGGAAACGACUGCUAAUACCGGAUGAUGACGAAAGUCCAAAGAUUUAUCGCCAGAGGAUGAGCCCGCGUAGGAUUAGCUAGUUGGUGUGGUAAAGGCGCACCAAGGCGACGAUCCUUAGCUGGUCUGAGAGGAUGAUCAGCCACACUGGGACUGAGACACGGCCCAGACUCCUACGGGAGGCAGCAGUAGGGAAUAUUGGACAAUGGGCGAAAGCCUGAUCCAGCAAUGCCGCGUGAGUGAUGAAGGCCUUAGGGUUGUAAAGCUCUUUUACCCGGGAUGAUAAUGACAGUACCGGGAGAAUAAGCUCCGGCUAACUCCGUGCCAGCCGCCGCGGUAA